UCCAGGGUUAAGUGAAUAGCCAAUGAAAUGGCAUCCGCUGUGCACCUGUAGGUAAAUUGGAGCAGAUUCAAGUCGCUUCUUAGGCAGGAGUUGAUGCGUUUCAACCUCUCAAACACCUCGUGACUGUGGAUAUUAGGAGCCAUGCUUUACGGCACCAAAGCAAGAGGGCUCAAGUUCCAAAGCUGCACAAUGUUAGACUGGAUGCCACUUACACAGACAAACGCAGCACCUGUGGGCUCCACUCCUGCGCGACUCAGAAGACCUACAUGAAGAGAUCAACGGAUGGCCCUGGAAAUCCAAGUCAGGAUAUAAAGGAAAGGUUGGGAAGGUGUCUUGAAGUCGAAAUUUCAAAUGGAAGAGCACAGCAGUAAUUUAUAUGACUUUACCUCAGGAAUAAAUUGCAUCUAACUCUGUUGGACCCAGUCAAACUUCAGAUAGGUCUACAGUGGAAGUGGUCUCAUUGACUCUUCACGCAGCCUUGGAUCACCUGGACAAUAUAAAUACCUAUGUCAGGAUACAGUUUAUUGACUACAGCUCAGUGUUUAACACAAUCAUUCAUACAGUUCUGAUCGAAAAACUCCAGAACCUGGGCUUCUCUACCUCCCUCUGCAACUGGAUCCUCAACUUCCUAACCAGAAGACCACAAUCUGUACGGAUCGGAAAUCACAUCUCUACCUCAUUGACAAUCAACACUGGCACACCUUAGGGAAGUAUGCUUAGCCUUCUGCGCUUAUCUCCCUCUACACUCAUCACUAUGUGGUUAGGCACAGCUCAAAUGCCAUCUAAAUUUGCUGAUGAUACAACUAUUGUUGGCAGAAUUUCAAAUGGUGGUGAGACGGUGUACAGGAGUGAGAUAUAUUAGCACAUUGAGUGGGGUCACAGCAACAACCUGACACUCAACAUCAAUAAAACCAAAGAACUGAUUGCAGACUUCAGAAAGAGUAAGACGAGGGUACACACACCAGUCCUCAUAGAGGGAUCAGAAGUGGAAAGGGUGAGCAGUUUCAAGUUUCUGGGUGCCAGUAUCUCUGAGGAUCUAUCCUGGACCCAACAUAUUGACGCAGCUACAAAGAAGGCAUG
Mobula hypostoma (lesser devil ray) is the source of this 1080-nucleotide long non-coding RNA. RefSeq lists it as uncharacterized. NCBI's taxonomy places the organism in Eukaryota, Metazoa, Chordata, Chondrichthyes, Myliobatiformes, Myliobatidae. The record is from RefSeq and is a predicted model, not a curated record. The transcript is spliced from 4 exons.